This 492-nucleotide ribosomal RNA is filed under the name uncultured bacterium. RNAcentral's name for it is "partial 16S ribosomal RNA". It matches the Rfam family "Bacterial small subunit ribosomal RNA", at positions 28 to 507 of the family's 1533-position model. The record is from RNAcentral.
GAUGAACGCUGGCGGCGUGCCUAACACAUGCAAGUCGAGCGGAAAGACGAUGAGCUUUUGCCUCUGACGGUGGCGGGGGACGGGCGGGUAACGCGUGGAUAACCUUCUACUAAUACUGGGAGAAUAUCGGGGAACCGGUGACAAUACUAGCGAAUACGUUCUACGGGAGGAAUCAAUAGUUAAACGCGCCUUUGCUGUCUGAUUUAGCCGGUGUCGCAUUAGCUAGUUGGUGAGGUAACGGCUCACCAAGGCAACGAUCCGUAGCUGACCUGAGAGGAUGAUCGGCCACACUGGAACUGAGACACGGUCCAGACUCCUACGGGAGGCAGCAGUAGGGAAUAUUGCACAAUGGGCGCAAGCCUGACCGAGCAACGCCGCGUGAGUGAUGAAGGUCUUCGGAUCGUAAAACUCUGUUAUUAGGGAAGAAAAAAUGUGUAAGUAACUCUGGACGUAUUGACGGUACCUAAUCAGAAAGCCCCGGCUAACUUCGUG